AUUGAUUUGGCAGACUAGUGUAUUAAAUUUAGAAUUUAAAAAAGUAAUUAAUUUUACAUUCAAUA
Molecule: transfer RNA, 65 nt
Filed under: Macropsis notata
Lineage: Eukaryota; Metazoa; Arthropoda; Insecta; Hemiptera; Cicadellidae
Description: tRNA-Leu
Source: RNAcentral